GAUGAACGCUGGCGGCGUGCCUAAUACAUGCAAGUAGAACGCUGAAGGAAGGAGCUUGCUCUUUCCGGAUGAGUUGCGAACGGGUGAGUAACGCGUAGGUAACCUGCCUGGUAGCGGGGAUAACUAUUGGAAACGAUAGCUAAUACCGCAUAACAGUAGAUAUUGCAUGAUAUCUGCUUGAAAGGGGCAAUUGCUCCACUACCAGAUGGACCUGCGUUGUAUUAGCUAGUUGGUGAGGUAACGGCUCACCAAGGCGACGAUACAUAGCCGACCUGAGAGGGUGAUCGGCCACACUGGGACUGAGACACGGCCCAGACUCCUACGGGAGGCAGCAGUAGGGAAUCUUCGGCAAUGGACGGAAGUCUGACCGAGCAACGCCGCGUGAGUGAAGAAGGUUUUCGGAUCGUAAAGCUCUGUUGUAAGAGAAGAACGAGUGUGAGAGUGGAAAGUUCACACUGUGACGGUAUCUACCA
Molecule: ribosomal RNA, 473 nt
Filed under: Streptococcus australis
Lineage: Bacteria; Bacillati; Bacillota; Bacilli; Lactobacillales; Streptococcaceae
Description: bacterial SSU rRNA
Rfam family: Bacterial small subunit ribosomal RNA
Source: RNAcentral